RNAcentral lists this ribosomal RNA (253 nucleotides) under uncultured bacterium. RNAcentral describes it as "partial 16S ribosomal RNA". It matches the Rfam family "Bacterial small subunit ribosomal RNA", at positions 524 to 776 of the family's 1533-position model. The record is from RNAcentral.
UACGGGGGGGGCAAGCGUUGUUCGGAAUUACUGGGCGUAAAGGGUUCGUAGGUGGCUUGCUAAGUCAGACGUGAAAUCCCUCAGCUUAACUGGGGAACUGCGUCUGAUACUGGCGAGCUUGAGUGCAGGAGAGGAACGCGGAAUUCCAGGUGUAGCGGUGAAAUGCGUAGAUAUCUGGAGGAACACCGGUGGCGAAGGCGGCAUCCUGGACCGAUAUUGACGCUGAUGCGCGAAAGCCAGGGGAGCAAACGGG